GCUCCAUGUCAUGACUAAAACUGUUGUCUUAGCAGCCGUAACUACUAACUUAGCCUCCUUCUUUGCAACUCUGUAAACCUCCCUAUUCACCCGCUUCUCCUCUUCAUCUUUACUCUCAAUCAACAUGACAUACACCCCCUUCUUAAUAUCCACUUUCUUUUUAACUUUUUCAUUCCACCACCAGUCCCCCUUAUGCCUUCCUGCCUGCCCCCUCGAAACACCCAACACUUCUCUAGCAGUCUCCGUAAUGCAGCUGGUAGCCUUAUCCCAUCUAAUAUCCACGUCCCCCUUAUA
Molecule: long non-coding RNA, 294 nt
Filed under: Capsicum annuum
Lineage: Eukaryota; Viridiplantae; Streptophyta; Magnoliopsida; Solanales; Solanaceae
Description: long non-coding RNA (CANN_LNC018523)
Source: RNAcentral